ACUUUUCCAUGAUGUUUGUAUACCUACAUUGUUUGAAGUGCUUUGUGAUAACAAAACGAAAUCUCUGAGAGGAGU
Small nucleolar RNA from Ornithodoros turicata, 75 nucleotides. RefSeq annotates it as small nucleolar RNA SNORD34. NCBI's taxonomy places the organism in Eukaryota, Metazoa, Arthropoda, Arachnida, Ixodida, Argasidae. The record is from RefSeq and is a predicted model, not a curated record. The transcript has a single exon.